CCAGCAAACCCUAAGCAAUAUUCUCAAACCUUCUCCCAUCAAUCAAAAACACUCCUAAAAGCAAAUCAAACAACUUCAACAUGGAGAAAACCAUGGCAAUUAUGGAAUUAUGAUUUCUUCGCUAAUUUGCUUCUCGGAUAAGAACUUCACCUUGAAGGAACUUGGAUUUUGGAGUGAUUUUGAUCAUCUAAGGACAUCAUCCGUAAGACGUUCGAGGACUCGGGGAAAUGUAUAUAACUCCAUCGACGAGGCACGGUAGAUGGAUUAUUGUACCUUUCUCAGUGGGAUACCAAAGUUCAGCAGGGAUGUUCGCACUCCAUUCUCCAGAGUUGCUAGUCAGAGUCAUUAAAUAGGAUGCAUGCAUAUAUACAUAGAGAGUAUGGCUAUGGCUACGUCGAGGCCACUGUCCCGACCAGUUGAUGUAUAUUAGUGCUCUUAGAGGCUUACAAAUUAUCAGUUAGUGUACAGGUAUUGUGUCAGGCCUUGCCGGCCUUCUAACUAGUUGUCUUUCUUGGUUGUGGCCUUG
Lycium ferocissimum is the source of this 526-nucleotide long non-coding RNA. RefSeq lists it as uncharacterized. The record is from RefSeq and is a predicted model, not a curated record. Lineage: Eukaryota; Viridiplantae; Streptophyta; Magnoliopsida; Solanales; Solanaceae. The transcript is spliced from 3 exons.